This 492-nucleotide ribosomal RNA is filed under the name uncultured bacterium. RNAcentral describes it as "partial 16S ribosomal RNA". It matches the Rfam family "Bacterial small subunit ribosomal RNA", at positions 29 to 507 of the family's 1533-position model. The record is from RNAcentral.
AGUGAACGCUGGCGGUAGGCCUAACACAUGCAAGUCGAACGGCAGCACAGUAAGAGCUUGCUCUUACGGGUGGCGAGUGGCGGACGGGUGAGGAAUACAUCGGAAUCUACUUUUUCGUGGGGGAUAACGUAGGGAAACUUACGCUAAUACCGCAUACGACCUACGGGUGAAAGCAGGGGAUCAUCGGACCUUGCGCGAUUGAAUGAGCCGAUGUCGGAUUAGCUAGUUGGCGGGGUAAAGGCCCACCAAGGCGACGAUCCGUAGCUGGUCUGAGAGGAUGAUCAGCCACACUGGAACUGAGACACGGUCCAGACUCCUACGGGAGGCAGCAGUGGGGAAUAUUGGACAAUGGGCGCAAGCCUGAUCCAGCUAUACCGCGUGGGUGAAGAAGGCCUUCGGGUUGUAAAGCCCUUUUGUUGGGAAAGAAAAGCAGCAGGUUAAUACCCCGCUGUUCUGACGGUACCCAAAGAAUAAGCACCGGCUAACUUCGUG